GGCCAGGAGUGGCAAAGCGUCAGCAGGCCAACCCCGCCAGGUCCGAAAGGAAGCAACGGCAACCUGACUGCCGUUGUUGCUGCUCCUGGUUUUU
Molecule: signal recognition particle RNA, 94 nt
Filed under: Methylacidiphilales bacterium
Lineage: Bacteria; Pseudomonadati; Verrucomicrobiota; Methylacidiphilae; Methylacidiphilales
Description: Candidatus Methylacidiphilales bacterium signal recognition particle sRNA small type
Rfam family: Bacterial small signal recognition particle RNA
About the family: The signal recognition particle (SRP) is a universally conserved ribonucleoprotein involved in the co-translational targeting of proteins to membranes.
Source: RNAcentral